Triticum aestivum (bread wheat) is the source of this 226-nucleotide long non-coding RNA. RefSeq lists it as uncharacterized. The transcript has 3 exons. The record is from RefSeq and is a predicted model, not a curated record. NCBI's taxonomy places the organism in Eukaryota, Viridiplantae, Streptophyta, Magnoliopsida, Poales, Poaceae.
GCUUUUAUGUCGUGUCUGUGAAAGGUCUUGACCAUGCCUAUUUUGAGAUUUGGAAGCGGGUUACUGGCCAGCAGAUGUGUUUCAGAGAUGCUCUGCAGGAAGUUUGCAAUGAGAAUUUGGUUCCAUCGCGCCAACACACUUUGAAGGCCGAGCUGCAGCGACCUGGAGGCUUUUUGCAACUGGAGCGACAAUUUCACCGGUGCACAGAGGGCAUUAGUAAGGAAGU